GCCUACGGGGGACAGCAGUAGGGAAUCUUCCACAAUGGGCGAAAGCCUGAUGGAGCAACGCCGCGUGGGUGAAGAAGGUCUUCGGAUCGUAAAACCCUGUUGUUAGAGAAGAAAGUGCGUGAGAGUAACUGUUCACGUUUCGACGGUAUCUAACCGGAAAGCCACGGCUAACUACGUGCCAGCAGCCGCGGUAAUACGUAGGUGGCAAGCGUUAUCCGGAUUUAUUGGGCGUAAAGGGAACGCAGGCGGUCUUUUAAGUCUGAUGUGAAAGCCUUCGGCUUAACCGGAGUAGUGCAUUGGAAAUU
RNAcentral lists this ribosomal RNA (305 nucleotides) under uncultured bacterium. Its description in RNAcentral is "bacterial SSU rRNA". It matches the Rfam family "Bacterial small subunit ribosomal RNA", at positions 337 to 634 of the family's 1533-position model. The record is from RNAcentral.